UACGAAGGGGGGCUAGCGUUGCUCGGAUUGACUGGGCGUAAAGGGCGCGUAGGCGGUUCGUACAGUCAGACGUGAAAUUCCUGGGCUCAACCUGGGGGCUGCGUUUGAUACGUGCGGGCUUGAGUGCGGAAGAGGGUCGUGGAAUUCCCAGUGUAGAGGUGAAAUCGUAGAUAUUGGGAAGAACACCGGUGGCGAAGGCGGCGACCUGGUCCUUUUACUGAGCUGAGGCGCGAAAGCGUGGGGAGCAAACAGG
This 253-nucleotide ribosomal RNA is filed under the name uncultured bacterium. RNAcentral's name for it is "partial 16S ribosomal RNA". It matches the Rfam family "Bacterial small subunit ribosomal RNA", at positions 524 to 776 of the family's 1533-position model. The record is from RNAcentral.